Molecule: ribosomal RNA, 435 nt
Filed under: uncultured bacterium
Lineage: Bacteria
Description: bacterial SSU rRNA
Rfam family: Bacterial small subunit ribosomal RNA
Source: RNAcentral
AACGCGAAGAACCUUACCAGGGUUUGACAUGCACAGGACGCUGGCAGAGAUGUCGGUUCCCUUGUGGCCUGUGUGCAGGUGGUGCAUGGCUGUCGUCAGCUCGUGUCGUGAGAUGUUGGGUUAAGUCCCGCAACGAGCGCAACCCUUGUCUCAUGUUGCCAGCACGUGAUGGUGGGGACUCGUGAGAGACUGCCGGGGUCAACUCGGAGGAAGGUGGGGAUGACGUCAAGUCAUCAUGCCCCUUAUGUCCAGGGCUUCACACAUGCUACAAUGGCCGGUACAAAGGGCUGCGAUGCCGUGAGGUGGAGCGAAUCCUUUCAAAGCCGGUCUCAGUUCGGAUCGGGGUCUGCAACUCGACCCCGUGAAGUCGGAGUCGCUAGUAAUCGCAGAUCAGCAACGCUGCGGUGAAUACGUUCCCGGGCCUUGUACACACCG